CGCGCGGUUGCACGAGGGGGUCCGCGCGGCGCUCCCGUCGGUGCGGAGAUCCGCGCUGGAUCGCCGCCGGCCGGUGCGG
Molecule: transfer RNA, 79 nt
Filed under: Rohdeia mirabilis
Lineage: Bacteria; Pseudomonadati; Planctomycetota; Planctomycetia
Description: Planctomycetes bacterium Pla163 tRNA-Gly
Source: RNAcentral